RNAcentral lists this non-coding RNA (21 nucleotides) under Caenorhabditis elegans. The record is from RNAcentral. Lineage: Eukaryota; Metazoa; Nematoda; Chromadorea; Rhabditida; Rhabditidae.
UCGGCUUAUUUCAAAAUCUAA